This is a long non-coding RNA of Folsomia candida, 1562 nucleotides long. RefSeq lists it as uncharacterized. The record is from RefSeq and is a predicted model, not a curated record. Lineage: Eukaryota; Metazoa; Arthropoda; Collembola; Entomobryomorpha; Isotomidae. The transcript has 2 exons.
CUUGUGUUGGAAUCAUAUUUUUAGUUACCACACAACACACUACUUAUGAAGAAGAGUUGUACAUACAUAUCAAGUCAAAAUAUUUUUAUUGGCACGAUGGGACGAUGGGAUCACGCAUUUUUAAACGUAUGCAUGCAUGAGGUAGAAUCAAUUCGGCGAUGUAUGAGUGAGGGCAUAUUGUUUAGAUUUUUCUCGUCCGACUACCUGGUUUACCUUUAACGUUCCCAUUUUAAGAAACUUGUAAAUGAUAAGUUUAGGAGUUGGAAAGGAUCUCGCUGCUCUUAGUCUUCUCUCUAAAAGGAAGAGGAGAGGUGCAUUAAAUAGCAUUGACCGGGGGGACUUUACAAACAAACAAAUAAAAUAAACAAGAGUGCAUAUAUGGUGCUAAAUUAAAAUUGGAGAAUACGGCAUGCAUAUUUAAUGCAUAUUAUGUAUGUAUCUACUCGCAGUCAUUCGGCAUCUCGCAGCAUGUUCAUUCACACGAAUCGAGUCCUUUGUACCCGUUCCUGAAUUAUUAUUUACUAGUUUUACUACUGCUAACUAACUGCUUUGCUGUUCUGCGGUAGUAAAUAACUCGUAAUUUGUGGUAGAGCUACUACUCAUUCACUCAUUCACUCACCUGUUGAAUUAUUGGGAUUAUUUUGCAUAUAUCUUUUUUAUGAAUAUAUAGUAUGUCACCCGUCAUACACAUGUACAUAUAAAACCCGGUCUUUUUAGCACAUUUUCAGGCUAUUCAUCCCCUCAGGUUCCUCCUCUCUCGGAUAUGAUCAUUCAUAAUAUGUGUCAUUCAAGUUUGUUUGAAUAGCGUCGACCACUAUCUACCCAUCUCUUCUACACAGAGUCAAGAUUACUUUUAAUCACAAUUACCAAACGAGUGACCCAUAUGCCCAAGAAGCAUUAACUAACGAGCAGGCAAAAAAGAAGUGGCAGUAGCAAAAUCAAAACGCCACUUUUAUUCUGUACAAUCUAAAUUGAACCAUGUCCAAUCCCACGCCACGUCAAAAUAAUCAAAGUCAAAGUCCUAAUUUGUCAUGCCCUUAUUCAGCCCGAGUUGGACAUUUAUUCAGAUGCACAAUUCAACUGUCCUUACGAUGAGGAGAGAAGUCUAAAAAGGCAGGCUCUUCAUCUCUUGGAGAUAUUUUGAUAGAGGUUGAUCUCGGCUUUAAAACAUAAAUGAAAAAGACGCAGAAAUAAGAAUCAGGCAACGUUACGUCGUCCUUUGGCAUUGUUGACUAAUAAAGAAAGAAAAGUCGCAGGGGGUUUAAAAUAGCGGAGAAGAAGAAGACGUAACAAUUUAGACUUCAACGUGUAGUAAUCCAAUGUCAAUAAAGUUUUAGAAGCUUGUUCGGGUACAAACAAUUUAUUUAUUUAUUUAUUUAUCUAUAUUUACUUUGAGAAUAAACAAACUACAGUAAUUGUCCUAUUUGUAUUAUUAUAUUAUUGUACGGAUUUUUAACAUUUUUUCUCAUAGCGUGAUACUUUUUGCUGCUGUUUUUUUAGGUGUGAAAUGUAUCAUGUACAACAAAUUAUGCAGGAAUUUAGUUUUCAACACUUAAUCCGAG